UACGGGAGGCAGCAGUAGGGAAUCUUCCGCAAUGGACGAAAGUCUGACGGAGCAACGCCGCGUGAGUGAUGAAGGUUUUCGGAUCGUAAAACUCUGUUGUUAGGGAAGAACAAGUACCGGAGUAACUGCCGGUACCUUGACGGUACCUAACCAGAAAGCCACGGCUAACUACGUGCCAGCAGCCGCGGUAAU
Molecule: ribosomal RNA, 192 nt
Filed under: Bacillus sp. L20-G08
Lineage: Bacteria; Bacillati; Bacillota; Bacilli; Caryophanales; Bacillaceae
Description: partial 16S ribosomal RNA
Rfam family: Bacterial small subunit ribosomal RNA
Source: RNAcentral